UAAUCACCUGUCUUUUAAUUGAAGACCUGUAUGAAUGGCAUCACGAAGGUUUAACUGUCUCCCCUCUCCCAUCUAUGAAAUUGAUCUCUUCGUGCAGAAGCGAAGAUUAUACUAUAAGACGAGAAGACCCUGUGGAGCUUUAGGUAAUCCUAGUGUAUACACUAUUAUUUACUAGGAUUUUACCUUUGGUUGGGGCGACCAUGAUGAAAAGCAAAACCCUCAUAAGGAAUGAACUAACUAGAUAUGAAUGACAGUUCUAAUCUUCAGAACUUCUGACCUCCUAGACCCAGUAUAACUGAUCAAUGAACCAAGUUACCCCAGGGAUAACAGCGCAAUUCUCUUUAAGAGCCCC
This 352-nucleotide ribosomal RNA is filed under the name Halobatrachus didactylus (Lusitanian toadfish). Its description in RNAcentral is "partial 16S ribosomal RNA". It matches the Rfam family "Bacterial large subunit ribosomal RNA", at positions 1962 to 2502 of the family's 2925-position model. The record is from RNAcentral. Lineage: Eukaryota; Metazoa; Chordata; Actinopteri; Batrachoidiformes; Batrachoididae.